Molecule: ribosomal RNA, 467 nt
Filed under: uncultured bacterium
Lineage: Bacteria
Description: partial 16S ribosomal RNA
Rfam family: Bacterial small subunit ribosomal RNA
Source: RNAcentral
GACGAACGCUGGCGGCGUGCUUAACACAUGCAAGUCGAACGGAAAGGCCUCUUUCGGGGGGUACUCGAGUGGCGAACGGGUGAGUAACACGUGAGUAACUUGCCCUUGACUUUGGGUUGACUUCCGGAAACUGGGGCUAAUACCGGAUAGAAGCUCCUGCGACAGGGUGGGGGCUGGAGAGUUUCGGCGGUUGGGGAUGGACUCGCGGGUUAUCCGCUUGUUGGUGGGGAAGUGGCUUACCAAGGCGUUGCCGGGUAGCCGGCCUGAGAGAGUGACCGGCGACAUUGGGACUGAGGGGAGGCCCAGGCUGCGACGGGUGGCAGCUGGGGGGAAGCUUGAACCAGGGGUGGCGGGCGGGUGCAGAAGCGCCGUGGGCGGGAAAACGGUCUUGUGGGUGAAGACCGCUUUCGCUCAUGACGAAGCUUUGUGUGACGGUAGUGGAUAAAGAAGCACCGGCUAACUACGUG